RNAcentral lists this ribosomal RNA (332 nucleotides) under uncultured bacterium. RNAcentral's name for it is "bacterial SSU rRNA". It matches the Rfam family "Bacterial small subunit ribosomal RNA", at positions 568 to 898 of the family's 1533-position model. The record is from RNAcentral.
CGCGUAGGCGGUUUUUUAAGUCAGAUGUGUAAUCCCCGAGCUUAACUUGGGAACUGCAUCUGAGACUGGAAGGCUAGAGUACUGGAGAGGGUGGUGGAAUUCCUCGUGUAGCGGUGAAGUGCGUAGAGAUGAGGAGGAACACCAGUGGCGAAGGCGGCCACCUGGACAGUAACUGACGCUGAGGCGCGAAAGUGUGGGUAGCAAACAGGAUUAGAUACCCUGGUAGUCCACGCUGUAAACGAUGAACACUUGGUGUGGAGGGAGUUGACCCCUUCCGUGCCGGAGCUAACGCGUUAAGUGUUCCGCCUGGGGAGUACGGUCGCAAGGCUGAA